GGAUUGUGGCUCAGUGGCAGAGUGCUUGCCUCACAUGUGUGAGGCACUGGGUUCAAUCCUCAGCACCA
Molecule: transfer RNA, 68 nt
Filed under: Marmota monax (woodchuck)
Lineage: Eukaryota; Metazoa; Chordata; Mammalia; Rodentia; Sciuridae
Description: tRNA.Val
Source: RNAcentral